RNAcentral lists this ribosomal RNA (433 nucleotides) under uncultured bacterium. RNAcentral describes it as "partial 16S ribosomal RNA". It matches the Rfam family "Bacterial small subunit ribosomal RNA", at positions 29 to 507 of the family's 1533-position model. The record is from RNAcentral.
AACGAACGCUGGCGGCAUGCCUAACACAUGCAAGUCGAACGAGACCUUCGGGUCUAUUGGCGCACGGGUCCUUAAGCCGUGGGAACCUCCCCUUGGGUUCGAAAUACCUCCCCGAAGGGGGUCCUAAUACCGGUAAAGGUCUUCGGACCAAGGAUUUAUCGCCUUGGGAUGGGCCCGGGUUGGAUUGGCUGGUUGGUAGGGUAAAAGCCUAGCAAGGGCACGAUCCAUAGCUGGUCUGAGAGGAUGAUCAGCCACACUGGGACUGAGACACGGCCCAGACUCCUACGGGAGGCAGCAGUGGGGAAUAUUGGACAAUGGGCGAAAGCCUGAUCCAGCCAUGCCGCGUGAGUGAUGCAGGCCUUAGGGUUGUAAAGCUCUUUUACCCGGGAUGAUAAUGACAGUACCGGGAGAAUAAGCUCCGGCUAACUACGUG